GGUACAUCGGUGACAGGUGGUGCAUGGUUGUCGUCAGCUCGUGUCGUGAGAUGUUGGGUUAAGUCCCGCAACGAGCGCAACCCCUAUUGUUAGUUGCCAUCAUUCAGUUGGGCACUCUAGCGAGACUGCCGGUAAUAAACCGGAGGAAGUGGGGAUGACGUCAAAUCAUCAUGCCCCUUAUGACCUGGGCUACACACGUGCUACAAUGGUUGGUACAACGAGUUGCGAGUCGGUGACGGCGAGCUAAUCUCUUAAAGCCAAUCUCAGUUCGGAUUGUAGGCUGCAACUCGCCUACAUGAAGUCGGAAUCGCUAGUAAUCGCGGAUCAGCACGCCGCGGUGAAUACGUUCCCGGGCCUU
This 358-nucleotide ribosomal RNA is filed under the name uncultured Streptococcus sp. RNAcentral describes it as "bacterial SSU rRNA". It matches the Rfam family "Bacterial small subunit ribosomal RNA", at positions 1022 to 1382 of the family's 1533-position model. Lineage: Bacteria; Bacillati; Bacillota; Bacilli; Lactobacillales; Streptococcaceae. The record is from RNAcentral.